AGUCAGAGCCUACGGGAGCAGCAGUAGGGAAUCUUCCACAAUGGGCGCAAGCCUGAUGGAGCAACACCGCGUGAGUGAAGAAGGGUUUCGGCUCGUAAAGCUCUGUUGUUGGAGAAGAACGUGCGUGAGAGUAACUGUUCACGCAGUGACGGUAUCCAACCAGAAAGUCACGGCUAACUACGUGCC
RNAcentral lists this ribosomal RNA (186 nucleotides) under uncultured bacterium. Its description in RNAcentral is "partial 16S ribosomal RNA". It matches the Rfam family "Bacterial small subunit ribosomal RNA", at positions 329 to 509 of the family's 1533-position model. The record is from RNAcentral.